Long non-coding RNA from Neofelis nebulosa (Clouded leopard), 2413 nucleotides. RefSeq lists it as uncharacterized. NCBI's taxonomy places the organism in Eukaryota, Metazoa, Chordata, Mammalia, Carnivora, Felidae. The transcript is spliced from 3 exons. The record is from RefSeq and is a predicted model, not a curated record.
GAGGGGGGGACGCGAGCCCAGGCGCGGUGCGCGCAGGCAGUUGCGGGCACGAGCCCCACGCCUGGAGGAGGAGGAGCCAGGCCCGGGAGGAGGGCUAGCGAGGUUCCCGGGAACGCAGGUCCCCCCCACACACACCCCCGCCCCAGUCCAAGGCGUCCUCCCUUCGUGGUGAUCAAAUUCAAUCCACAGCUCUAAAAAAGUUUACAUUCUGCAACCCCGCACCACCACCACCCCAAGCAAAAAGGUCAAGAUGAAGAUCCUUAUCAUGGCCUUUGUCCUGGAUGCCUUGACUCCUGCCUGGCCUUGAACCGUUGUUUUCUUUGCUCCAUAAACACCAGCCUUUCAGUUCCUGGAAUGUACUUGGCUUCCUACUGUCAUUUCUUCUCCUGCCAUAAGGCAUUGUAGCACAAGUUCUCUCUGCUGGAAAGCUCCUGGCCCAUCUACACACCUGUUCAUCCUUCAUAUAAAAAAUUAGGAAGCACUUACUCAAGAAGUCUCCCUGACAUAUCCUCUACCCGCCAGUCUCCAUUAGAUUCUUUUAUUAUAUGUACUUUCUGUUGGGGAUUUGUCUCUGUCUUUCAUGUCUCUGUUUAUCAUUGUGUGUGAUUAUUAACAUCUGUUAACCAACUAUGCUAUAUGUUACAGGAGUUCAGAGACCAUGCUUAUUUUUACUUAAAAUUGUAUCCCCUGCAAUUAGUGCACUGCCUGACUUAGAGUACGCACUCAAUAAAUAGCUGUUGUGAAAAAAAAAAAUGAAGGAAUAAAUGAAUGUAUAGCACACAUAGGUUUAAAUGUGUAAUGUUACUUUUAAAACAUUUCAGGGGUGCCUGGGUGGUUAAGCGUCCGACUUCGGCUCAGGUCAUGAUCUCACAGCUCAGUAGUUCGAGCCCUGCGUGAGGCUCUGUGCUGACAGCUCAGAGCCUGGAGCCUGCUUCGAAUUCUGUGUCUCCCUCUCUCUCUGCUCCUCCCCCACUCAUGCUGUCAUGCUGUCUCUCUCUCUCUCUCUCCCCUUCAAAAAUAAAUAAAAACAUUUAAAAAUUUUUCAUAUUUCUGAAAAUAAAUACUGCAAUUCAGUCACUUGGAUUGUUGCCACAUUCAUAGAGUCUAUGGAGAAUUAAUGGCUGAAGACAUGUCAUGAGAAAUGAGAAGAAAGUACAUGUUAUUGAUAGCAAGGUGCUGGAAAGUAGUUUGAUCAAGGUAGACCCGCAAAAGAAAAUGAUAAGAAAGUUAACAAUGUAUUGGUUCACAACACGGAAGGCUGUUUCUGCUUAUCCAGUGGUGUUUGGUAAUUAUAGAGGUCAAUGGAUUCUCGACUUCAAAGGAUAAGACCAUAUACAUGUGUUUUCCAGUGUUCAAGAAUAGAGAAUUCCAAUAAACCUUGCCUUAGUAUUCUCUGCCUAGAAUGGGAUGAUGCAUUCUUAUUUAGCUGGGAUAUAGGAUUAAUUAGCUGCCCUAUAGCUGAACCAUGUGGAUGCAAAAUCAACAAUUAUUCUAUAAGAUCUUUGUCACGAAGGAGUUGCAGUGGAUGAACUAUAAGAUGCCUUUUAUCACUUAUAUAUUCUUAUUUUAUAAAAAUUCUCCUUAUCUGCUAAGAGACUAAUUUUCUUAGGAAUUUUAUUACAAAUGAUAAUUAUCCUUUCGAAUCACUUAUUGCUAUAUCUUAAGGUCUUGAGUCAAAUGAACUGUUCAUCUGUUCUUUAUCCCUAUAAAUCCAAGUGUAUGUUCAGAGAAAUGUUUUCUACUUAAAUAUAUAACUAAAGGAAUAUUUAUAUAUCUGUAUAUGCACACAUUUAUAGCAUGAUAAGUACUAUAGUAAUUACCAUAGGACUAGUUAGUUAAGACAGGAGCCAGUAAAUAGCUGUUGCACAAAUAUGUUCUGCCACCUGCUUUUGUGUAUGAAAGUUUACUGGGUCAUAGCCAUGUGCAUUUAUUUAUGUAUUAUCUAAUAGCUCCUUUGUGCUAUAAUGGCAGAACCCAGUAGUUGCAAUAGAAUCCAUGUGCCCACAAAGCCUGAAACAUUUCCAUCUGAUCCUUUAAGACAAAAAAUUUUCCAGCCUCUGAACUAAGUGAACUAAGUGAAAGAGUUGUUCAUUGAACUGCAUAAACAGAUGGUUCUUUUAUAUCUUCCUUUGACAAUUACUAUUUAAAAGGCUUCUUUCUAGCUAGCUCCUAUGGAAAUAUUGUUCAGUCAGUAUCAAAAAAAUGAUUUGGAUAAUUAAGUAGUUAUCUUUUUGUUUUCCAAAAGAAGAAUUGAAAAAUAUUUUUUGCGUAUAAUUUAUAAAAUGUAAAGCACUAUGGUAGGCCUUAUUUUAAAUUAAAAACAGAAAAAAACCGCCUCUUCAACAAACAGUUUGAUGAAAGAAUGUGUGAUUUGUACCAAAAAACUAAAAUAAAAGGUCUGUAUACAUCCUCC